RNAcentral lists this long non-coding RNA (1307 nucleotides) under Piliocolobus tephrosceles (Ugandan red Colobus). Its description in RNAcentral is "lncRNA (ENSPTEG00000004389.1)". The record is from RNAcentral. Lineage: Eukaryota; Metazoa; Chordata; Mammalia; Primates; Cercopithecidae.
AUGUAUGCACAUAUAAAUGACUCUAAUGGGACUGUUUCUACCUUUGUUAUUUCAUUUGUUUUUGUUUUUUUUCAAACAUCCCAAUCUUUGAUCGCUUCAAAGAAAAACUUAGUUUACUUUAUGUACAACCAUAACAAUGUUAGAAAAAAAGAAAAAUAUAUUUGCACAAAACUAAAUUGUAAAUUGGAAGGUAUAGAAUAUAAAGUUAAGGAUUUGAAUAAGUCAAUUGAUUUUUAUAAAAAUGUGUUAGGUUUUAAAGAAUUAGAAAGAAACACGAAUUUUGUCAAAAUGGUACUAGAUGUAAAGGAUGCAUAUAUAAAAUUAAUACAAAAGGGAGAGCAAAAUAUGAUCAUACCAGAACAUGCGUUUUUAGGAUUAGGUAUAAAUUCAAAAAAAUUCGAAAUAAGUAAAACCAAAACAUAUGAAGGAAAGGUAGAAGAAGAAAUUGAAAAAAGACCUAUCACUGCUUGUAUAUUACCAGAUGAAGACGCACAAGAAAGGAAGUACUGGACCAACUGCUUUAUAACAGACCCAGACGGUUAUGGUAUAGAAGUGGUAUUACAGGAGGAAACUGAUGAAAAUAAGCUCGAUAGGAUUAGGCUUUUUACAACAUCAACAAAAGAUGCGCAAAAGUUUUAUUCCGAUAUUUUAGGAUUCGAGCUAAUAAAAAUACAAAGCCAUUUAAACGAAAUUUCUUAUCCAUGGAAUAUUUAUGGAGGAAUGAGUUAUUUUUUUUCUUCUAAAAAAAAUAAAACAAUAUUACAAAUGGCUUAUGCUUAUGAUGAAGAUAAGGUUAGUUAGAGGUUUUUGUUAUUACUGCUAUAGUAAUGUAUUUGUUUAUACAAACCAUUCCAACAUAUAUGCAUAUUAUCACUCUAACAUAUACUGCAUAUAUAUAUAUAUAUAUAUAUAUUUUUUUUUUUUUUUUUUUUUUUUUAAACUAUCCUCUCACUUUCAGCUUCACAUGGGAAAUUCCUUAGGCAAUUUGAUUAUAAGUAUUGAAGAUUUAAAUAUUGUAGAAAAAAAAACUAAAUGAAAAUAAUUUAAAAAUAGUCAAGACCGAUGAUGGCAUUAAUGUUAAAGACUUGGAUGGAUAUAGUGUUCGUUUGGAAGGAAUUACAAAAUAAUCUAAGUAGUAAAAAUUAUUUUUGCCUUUUAUUAAUCAUUAAAAUGUGUAUAUAUGUGUGGGUGUACAUAUAUACGCACUUAUACUGUAAAUAUUUUACAUUGACAAAAUGUCAAUUUUUAGCAAAAGCCAUUUUUUUUUUAAAUUUAUGUCAAUGUUAAUAAAUAAUAAUGAACGUUCA